This 40-nucleotide ribosomal RNA is filed under the name Puccinia lagenophorae. RNAcentral's name for it is "partial 28S ribosomal RNA". The record is from RNAcentral. Lineage: Eukaryota; Fungi; Basidiomycota; Pucciniomycetes; Pucciniales; Pucciniaceae.
UUAAGACCUCAAAUCAGGUGGGACUACCUGCUGAACUUAA